This 443-nucleotide ribosomal RNA is filed under the name uncultured bacterium. Its description in RNAcentral is "partial 16S ribosomal RNA". It matches the Rfam family "Bacterial small subunit ribosomal RNA", at positions 338 to 795 of the family's 1533-position model. The record is from RNAcentral.
CCUACUGGAGGCAGCAGUGGGGAAUAUUGGGCAAUGGGCGAAAGCCUGACCCAGCAAUGCCGCGUGAAUGAUGAAGGUCUUAGGAUUGUAAAAUUCUGUCCUAUGGGAAGAAAAAAAUGACGGUACCAUAGGCGGAAGCCCCGGCUAACUACGUGCCAGCAGCCGCGGUAAUACGGAGGGUGCGAGCGUUAAUCGGAAUUACUGGGGGUAAAGCGCUCGUAGGCGGGAUGUCAAGUCAAGGGUUAAAUCUCAGCGGUCAACGUGGGAACUGCCGUUGAAACUGGCAAACUUGAGUGGGUGAGAGGAAAGUGGAAUGCCAGGUGUAGGAGUGAAAUCCGUAGAUAUCAGGAAGAACAUCAGUGGCGAAGGCGACGAUCUGGCGCAUAACUGACGCUGAGGAGCGAAAGCGUGGGUAGCGAACAGGAUUAGAUACCCCAGUAGUC